CUUGUGUGGCGCGAGUUUCAGUUUCCGUUUGCUUAGUUGAUUAAAGAGCUCUGUGUGGAGAUAUCGAAUGAAAUAAAGAGUAAAAUAAAAGAAACAUUGAGAACAGAAGGAGGAAAUGAAAUGAGACAACCAAGAAUAGAAAACAAAUAAAGAGUUCUAGGUUUUGUUUUUAUUUAAAGGGUUCUAUGUGGAAAUAUCGAAUGAAAUAAAGAGUAAAAUAAAAGAAACAUUGAGAACAGAAGGAGGAUAUUAAAUGAGACAACCAAGAACAGUAAAUAAGUAAAGUUCUAGGUUGUUUUGUUUUUAUUUAAAGAGUGGCGUUUGUUUGGUUGAUUAAAGAGUUCUGAGUGGAAAUAUCGAAUGAAAUAAGAGUAAAAUAAAACAAACAUUGAGAACAGAAGGAGGAAAUGAAAUGAGACAACCAAGAACAGUAAACAAAUAAAGAGUUCUAGGUUUUGUUUUUAUUUAAAGAGUUCUAUGUGGAAAUAUCGAAUGAAAUAAAGAGUAAAAUAAAAGAAACAUUGAGAACAGAAGGAGGAAAUGAAAUGAGACAACCAAGAACAGUAAACAAAUAAAGAAGUUCUAGGUUUUGUUUUUAUUUAAAGAGUUCUGAGUGGAGAUAUCGAAUGAAAUAAAGAGUAAAGUAAAAGAAACAUUGAGAACAGAAGGAGGAAAUUAAAUGAGACAACCAAGAACAGUAAAUAAAUAAAGUUCUAGGUUGUUUUGUUUUUAUUUAAAGAGAGGCGUUUGCUUAGUUGAUUAAAGAGCUCUGUGUGGAAAUAUCGAAUGAAAUAAAGAGUAAAGUAAAAGAAACAUUGAGAACAGAAGGAGGAAAUGAAAUGAGACAACCAAGAAUAGUAAACAAAUAAAGAGUUCUAAGUUUUGUUUUUAUUUAAAGGGUUCUGUGAGGAGAUAUCGAAUGAAAUAAAGAGUAAAGUAAAAGAAACAUUGAGAACAGAAGGAGGAAAUGAAAUGAGACAACCAAGAACAGUAAACAAAUAAAGAGUUCUAGGUUUUGUUUUUAUUUAAAGGGUUCUGUGAGGAGAUAUCGAAUGAAAUAAAGAGUAAAGUAAAAGAAACAUUGAGAACAGAAGGAGGAAAUGAAAUGAGACAACCAAGAACAGUAAACAAAUAAAGAGUUCUAGGUUUUGUUUUUAUUUAAAGGGUUCUGUGAGGAGAUAUCGAAUGAAAUAAAGAGUAAAGUAAAAGAAACAUUGAGAACAGAAGGAGGAAAUGAAAUGAGACAACCAAGAAUAGUAAACAAAUAAAGAGUUCUAGGUUUUGUUUUUAUUUAAAGAGUUCUGAGUGGAGAUAUCGAAUGAAAUAAAGAGUAAAGUAAAAGAAACAUUGAGAACAGAAGGAGGAAAUGAAAUGAGACAACCAAGAAUAGUAAACAAAUAAAGAGUUCUAGGUUUUGUUUUUAUUUAAAGGGUUCUGUGUGGAAAUAUCGAAUGAAAUAAAGAGUAAAAUAAAAGAAACAUUGAGAACAGAAGGAGGAAAUUAAAUGAGACAACCAAGAACAGUAAACAAAUAAAGUUCUAGGUUGUUUUGUUUUUAUUUAAAGAGAGGCGUUUACUUAGUUGAUUAAAGAGUUCUGAGUGGAGAUAUCGAAUGAAAUAAAGAGUAAAGUAAAAGAAACAUUGAGAACAGAAGGAGGAAAUGAAAUGAGACAACCAAGAACAGUAAAUAAAUAAAGAGU
Eriocheir sinensis (Chinese mitten crab) is the source of this 1699-nucleotide long non-coding RNA. RefSeq lists it as uncharacterized. The record is from RefSeq and is a predicted model, not a curated record. The transcript is spliced from 3 exons. Lineage: Eukaryota; Metazoa; Arthropoda; Malacostraca; Decapoda; Varunidae.